CAUGCAAGUCGAACGAGAGAGAAGGAGCUUGCUUCUUCGAUCGAGUGGCGAACGGGUGAGUAACGCGUGAGGAACCUGCCUCAAAGAGGGGGACAACAGUUGGAAACGACUGCUAAUACCGCAUAAGCCCACGGGUCAGCAUCGACCUGAGGGAAAAGGAGCAAUCCGCUUUGAGAUGGCCUCGCGUCCGAUUAGCUAGUUGGUGAGGUAACGGCCCACCAAGGCGACGAUCGGUAGCCGGACUGAGAGGUUGAACGGCCACAUUGGGACUGAGACACGGCCCAGACUCCUACGGGAGGCAGCAGUGGGGAAUAUUGCACAAUGGGGGAAACCCUGAUGCAGCGACGCCGCGUGGAGGAAGAAGGUCUUCGGAUUGUAAACUCCUGUUGUUGAGGAAGAUAAUGACGGUACUCAACAAGGAAGUGACGGCUAACUACGUGCCAGCAGCCGCGGUAAAACGUAGGUCACAAGCGUUGUCCGGAAUUACUGGGUGUAAAGGGAGCGCAGGCGGGAAGACAAGUUGGAAGUGAAAUCUAUGGGCUCAACCCAUAAACUGCUUUCAAAACUGUUUUUCUUGAGUAGUGCAGAGGUAGGCGGAAUUCCCGGUGUAGCGGUGGAAUGCGUAGAUAUCGGGAGGAACACCAGUGGCGAAGGCGGCCUACUGGGCACCAACUGACGCUGAGGCUCGAAAGUGUGGGUAGCAAACAGGAUUAGAUACCCUGGUAGUCCACACCGUAAACGAUGAUUACUAGGUGUUGGAGGAUUGACCCCUUCAGUGCCGCAGUUAACACAAUAAGUAAUCCACCUGGGGAGUACGACCGCAAGGUUGAAACUCAAAGGAAUUGACGGGG
Molecule: ribosomal RNA, 851 nt
Filed under: uncultured bacterium
Lineage: Bacteria
Description: bacterial SSU rRNA
Rfam family: Bacterial small subunit ribosomal RNA
Source: RNAcentral